This 70-nucleotide transfer RNA is filed under the name Salmo salar (Atlantic salmon). It matches the Rfam family "tRNA". From Rfam's summary of the family: Transfer RNA (tRNA) molecules are approximately 80 nucleotides in length. Their secondary structure includes four short double-helical elements and three loops (D, anti-codon, and T loops). Lineage: Eukaryota; Metazoa; Chordata; Actinopteri; Salmoniformes; Salmonidae. The record is from Rfam by way of RNAcentral. RNAcentral also lists the same sequence under 1 other name.
UCCCGUGUGGCUCAGUUGGUAGAGCAUGGUGUUUGCAACACCAGGGUUGUGUGUUCGAUUCCCACGGGGG